AUGUAUUAUUUUGUGUCGAUGAUUCCACUUGCAGUAUUCACCUUCUCAUAUCUUUUCUCCCAACACUGUACCGAUUUGUUUCCUGAAAAGUCAGGAAUCUUGGUAGAUUUCGGAGAUGUUGUAAAGAAAUGGUAUUUUGUACUGAAGUACUCAGCUAGCCCUGAAAACUCUUAUUUGCACUUCUGGUCUCAUGCAGUCGUGCCGAAGGCGCGACAUUUGCACUUAUAUAAUCUUGCCCCCAACGCUUUUGAUUUGGGGCGGGUUUCGGUCAUCUGUCCUGCCUGGAGGGACGCCAGCACGAACGGUUUGAUCCGCUGA
This 318-nucleotide ribosomal RNA is filed under the name Triticum aestivum (bread wheat). RNAcentral's name for it is "partial small subunit ribosomal RNA". Lineage: Eukaryota; Viridiplantae; Streptophyta; Magnoliopsida; Poales; Poaceae. The record is from RNAcentral.